This is a long non-coding RNA of Diabrotica virgifera virgifera (western corn rootworm), 524 nucleotides long. RefSeq lists it as uncharacterized. The transcript is spliced from 2 exons. Lineage: Eukaryota; Metazoa; Arthropoda; Insecta; Coleoptera; Chrysomelidae. The record is from RefSeq and is a predicted model, not a curated record.
UAUGCGGCCGUUCAAUCAGUUCGUUGUCGUGGUGUCUUGUUCUUUCAUGGUUGAUCGCUGUCAGUUGUAUUACAUCUCUUACAAAGGGAAUAUUCAGAUCAUUGUGAAUAGUGUGAUUACUGACAUACCAGGAUAACACAGAAUUGAUAAGAGUAACGAUUUUAAAUGCCCUUGCUAGAAGUGCAACUUCUACAUGAAGCAUUUAUACAGGGUGUUCAUAAACUCUCCUGACAAACGAAGACUGAAGAUUCCUCAGAUUAUUUCAUUCAUAGGAAAUUCUGACCAAUAGAAAGCUACAGAAAUCUAAAUUAAAUAGAUCAUUUUUGAUAAUUUCCCGUCGUCAAGUAUAUUACGUCAGAUGCCCUUCGUUGCUACGAAAAAAUACAUUCAGUGACGUUAAUGACAAUUAAUGUUUUAAAAAUUAUAAACGUGAUGACUUUCAACCGUCAAAUUAAUAUUUAUAACAACUGUUUGUUUAAUUGUACUAAUUUGUACUUACAUAAAUAAAUUACAAUAAAAUUUUG